Molecule: unclassified non-coding RNA, 192 nt
Filed under: Glomus sp.
Lineage: Eukaryota; Fungi; Glomeromycota; Glomeromycetes; Glomerales; Glomeraceae
Description: partial contains 5.8S ribosomal RNA and internal transcribed spacer 2
Rfam family: 5.8S ribosomal RNA (bases 1-65)
Source: RNAcentral
GUGAAUCAUCGAAUUUUUGAACGCAAAUUGCACUCUCCUCGGAGAGUAUGCCUGUUUGAGGGUCAGCCUAUAAAAAAUCGACAUAGUCGCUGUUUGCCGGUGACAUACGUGGGAAAUUGGGGCACCUUAAAUCUUUUGGGUUUAGGCAACUUAUAAUUUUCUUUUUGAUUCUAUGAAUGUUUUUCUAAGAUU